GGGGUUGUAGCUCAGGGUAGAGCACUUGCCUAGCACACAUGAAGCACUGGGUUCAAUGCCUAGCACCA
This 68-nucleotide transfer RNA is filed under the name Ictidomys tridecemlineatus (thirteen-lined ground squirrel). RNAcentral describes it as "Spermophilus tridecemlineatus (thirteen-lined ground squirrel) tRNA". It matches the Rfam family "tRNA". From Rfam's summary of the family: Transfer RNA (tRNA) molecules are approximately 80 nucleotides in length. The record is from Rfam by way of RNAcentral. Lineage: Eukaryota; Metazoa; Chordata; Mammalia; Rodentia; Sciuridae.